AUUAUACAAGACAAGCAAUAUAUAUAUCAAGGAAGCGCAACUGAACCAUUUAACCAUUCCAGUAUAUUAUCAUGCAUUUAAAGCUGUAAAUUCAACAAUCAGUUAAACAAGACAACAAAUAAAUGACUAAUCGUUUUUAGCUCCAUUAGUAACCUGUAAUUAUUCUCAAAGUUUUCAAAAUUACACAAAAUACCAUAUUAUCAAUUAUUUAGCUUCGAUUCCAUAACAGAGAAUAAGGUGAGAGAUUUUUACUCGAAUUGGUGUACGAAAUACUGAACUUUCUACUGCGCCUACUGGCGGUUCCCCGGUUUCCUGAGUUUUUAUGCGGAGAUUAAAACACACUU
RNAcentral lists this long non-coding RNA (344 nucleotides) under Carica papaya (papaya). Its description in RNAcentral is "long non-coding RNA (CPAP_LNC012325)". Lineage: Eukaryota; Viridiplantae; Streptophyta; Magnoliopsida; Brassicales; Caricaceae. The record is from RNAcentral.